GAUGAACGCUGGCGGCGUGCCUAAUACAUGCAAGUCGAGCGAACAGAUGAGGAGCUUGCUCCUCUGACGUUAGCGGCGGACGGGUGAGUAACACGUGGAUAACCUACCUAUAAGACUGGGAUAACUUCGGGAAACCGGAGCUAAUACCGGAUAAUAUAUUGAACCGCAUGGUUCAAUAGUGAAAGACGGUUUUGCUGUCACUUAUAGAUGGAUCCGCGCCGCAUUAGCUAGUUGGUAAGGUAACGGCUUACCAAGGCAACGAUGCGUAGCCGACCUGAGAGAGUGAUCAGCCAAACUGGAACUGAGACACGGUCCAGACUCCUACGGGAGGCAGCAGUAGGGAAUCUUCCGCAAUGAGCGAAAGCCUGACGGAGCAAAGCCGCGUGAGUGAUGAAGGUCUUCGGAUCGUAAAACUCUGUUAUUAGGGAAGAACAAAUGUGUAAGUAACUAUGCACGUCUUGACGGUACCUAAGCAGAAAGCCACGGCUAACUAAGUG
Molecule: ribosomal RNA, 497 nt
Filed under: uncultured bacterium
Lineage: Bacteria
Description: partial 16S ribosomal RNA
Rfam family: Bacterial small subunit ribosomal RNA
Source: RNAcentral